AUUGAACGCUGGCGGCAGGCCUAACACAUGCAAGUCGAGCGGGGUUUUCGGACCUAGCGGCGGACGGGUGAGUAAUGCGUAGGAAGCUACCCGAUAGAGGGGGAUACCAGUUGGAAACGACUGUUAAUACCGCAUAAUGUCUACGGACCAAAGUGUGGGACCUUCGGGCCACAUGCUAUCGGAUGCGCCUACGUGGGAUUAGCUAGUUGGUGGGGUAAUGGCUCACCAAGGCGACGAUCCCUAGCUGGUUUGAGAGGAUGAUCAGCCACACUGGAACUGAGACACGGUCCAGACUCCUACGGGAGGCAGCAGUGGGGGAAUAUUGGACAAUGGGCGCAAGCCUGAUCCAGCCAUGCCGCGUGU
Molecule: ribosomal RNA, 363 nt
Filed under: uncultured bacterium
Lineage: Bacteria
Description: bacterial SSU rRNA
Rfam family: Bacterial small subunit ribosomal RNA
Source: RNAcentral